This 66-nucleotide transfer RNA is filed under the name Dicyphus sp. RNAcentral describes it as "tRNA-Ser". It matches the Rfam family "tRNA". From Rfam's summary of the family: Transfer RNA (tRNA) molecules are approximately 80 nucleotides in length. Their secondary structure includes four short double-helical elements and three loops (D, anti-codon, and T loops). Further hydrogen bonds mediate the characteristic L-shaped molecular structure. tRNAs have two regions of fundamental functional importance: the anti-codon, which is responsible for specific mRNA codon recognition, and the 3' end, to which the tRNAs corresponding amino acid is attached (by aminoacyl-tRNA synthetases). tRNAs cope with the degeneracy of the genetic code in two manners: having more than one tRNA (with a specific anti-codon) for a particular amino acid; and 'wobble' base-pairing, i.e. permitting non-standard base-pairing at the 3rd anti-codon position. The record is from RNAcentral. Lineage: Eukaryota; Metazoa; Arthropoda; Insecta; Hemiptera; Miridae.
AGCUAAUAAGCUUUAAAGCAUAUAUUUUGAAAGUAUAAGAUAAAAGAUUUAACUCUUUAUUAGCUU